Molecule: long non-coding RNA, 201 nt
Filed under: Lathyrus oleraceus (garden pea)
Lineage: Eukaryota; Viridiplantae; Streptophyta; Magnoliopsida; Fabales; Fabaceae
Description: Pisum sativum (pea) long non-coding RNA (PSAT_LNC008411)
Source: RNAcentral
GAAUUUGUUUGAAGAGAUGGAGAGGGAUGUUAUGCAUUAGCUUUCACGAAGAAGAAUGGGUAUCUUUUUAUGUUUCUCUCUCCUUUUUCUCAUUUUACUUAAAUUAUUGGUUAUUAACAAAUAAAAAUACAAAAGAAAAUGCUUCCUUUAUUUUAUCAGGUUAUCUUUCUUAAAUCUCAAAAAAUCAAAAAAUAUAGAAAU